This 120-nucleotide small nuclear RNA is filed under the name Erythranthe guttata (spotted monkey flower). RNAcentral's name for it is "Mimulus guttatus (spotted monkey flower) U5 spliceosomal RNA". It matches the Rfam family "U5 spliceosomal RNA". Rfam says of the family: U5 RNA is a component of both types of known spliceosome. The precise function of this molecule is unknown, though it is known that the 5' loop is required for splice site selection and p220 binding, and that both the 3' stem-loop and the Sm site are important for Sm protein binding and cap methylation. Lineage: Eukaryota; Viridiplantae; Streptophyta; Magnoliopsida; Lamiales; Phrymaceae. The record is from Rfam by way of RNAcentral.
AGCUGCGCGGUAAACACAUAGCGAACUAUUCUUUCGCCUUUUACUAAAGAAUACCGUGUGUUUGCCGCACUACAAGCAGCAUACGCCACUUUUUGGAGGGUUUUUUCCAUUUUUGGAAAU